Molecule: ribosomal RNA, 1340 nt
Filed under: Streptomyces sp. NRRL B-11253
Lineage: Bacteria; Bacillati; Actinomycetota; Actinomycetes; Kitasatosporales; Streptomycetaceae
Description: bacterial LSU rRNA
Rfam family: Bacterial large subunit ribosomal RNA
Source: RNAcentral
UGAGACCUGAUGCCGAGCCGAUUGUGGUGAAGUGGAUGAUCCUAUGCUGUCGAGAAAAGCCUCUAGCGAGUUUCAUGGCGGCCCGUACCCUAAACCGACUCAGGUGGUCAGGUAGAGAAUACCGAGGCGUUCGGGUGAACUAUGGUUAAGGAACUCGGCAAAAUGCCCCCGUAACUUCGGGAGAAGGGGGGCCACGGCUGGUGAUGGGACGUGCUCCCUGAGCUGGUGGUGGCCGCAGAGACCAGCGAGAAGCGACUGUUUACUAAAAACACAGGUCCGUGCGAAGCCGUAAGGCGAUGUAUACGGACUGACGCCUGCCCGGUGCUGGAACGUUAAGGGGACCGGUUAGCUCCAUUUCGGUGGGGCGAAGCUGAGAACUUAAGCGCCAGUAAACGGCGGUGGUAACUAUAACCAUCCUAAGGUAGCGAAAUUCCUUGUCGGGUAAGUUCCGACCUGCACGAAUGGCGUAACGACUUCUCGACUGUCUCAACCAUAGGCCCGGUGAAAUUGCACUACGAGUAAAGAUGCUCGUUUCGCGCAGCAGGACGGAAAGACCCCGGGACCUUUACUAUAGCUUGAUAUUGGUGUUUGGUUCGGCUUGUGUAGGAUAGGUGGGAGACUGUGAAGCCGUGACGCCAGUCAUGGUGGAGUCGUUGUUGAAAUACCACUCUGGUCGUGCUGGAUGUCUAACCUGGGUCCGUGAUCCGGAUCAGGGACAGUGUCUGGUGGGUAGUUUAACUGGGGCGGUUGCCUCCUAAAGGGUAACGGAGGCGCCCAAAGGUUCCCUCAGCCUGGUUGGCAAUCAGGUGUUGAGUGUAAGUGCACAAGGGAGCUUGACUGUGAGACUGACGGGUCGAGCAGGUACGAAAGUAGGGACUAGUGAUCCGGCGGUGGCUUGUGGAAGCGCCGUCGCUCAACGGAUAAAAGGUACCCCGGGGAUAACAGGCUGAUCUUCCCCAAGAGUCCAUAUCGACGGGAUGGUUUGGCACCUCGAUGUCGGCUCGUCGCAUCCUGGGGCUGGAGUCGGUCCCAAGGGUUGGGCUGUUCGCCCAUUAAAGCGGUACGCGAGCUGGGUUUAGAACGUCGUGAGACAGUUCGGUCCCUAUCCGCUGUGCGCGUAGGAGUCUUGAGAAGGGCUGUCCCUAGUACGAGAGGACCGGGACGGACGAACCUCUGGUGUGCCAGUUGUUCUGCCAAGGGCAUGGCUGGUUGGCUACGUUCGGAAAGGAUAACCGCUGAAAGCAUCUAAGCGGGAAGCCUGCUUCGAGAUGAGGGCUCCCUCCCACUUGAUGGGGUAAGGCUCCCAGUAGACGACUGGGUUGAUAGGCCAGAUAUGGAAG